RNAcentral lists this ribosomal RNA (497 nucleotides) under uncultured bacterium. Its description in RNAcentral is "partial 16S ribosomal RNA". It matches the Rfam family "Bacterial small subunit ribosomal RNA", at positions 28 to 507 of the family's 1533-position model. The record is from RNAcentral.
GAUGAACGCUGGCGGCGUGCCUAAUACAUGCAAGUCGAGCGAACGGACGAGAAGCUUGCUUCUCGGAUGUUAGCGGCGGACGGGGGAGUAACAAGUGGAUAACCUACCUAUAAGACUGGGAGAACUUCGGGAAACCGGAGCUAAUACCGGAGAAUAUUUUGAACCGCAUGGUUCAAAAGUGAAAGACGGUCUUGCUGUCACUUAGAGAUGGAUCCGCGCUGCAUUAGCUAGUUGGUAAGGUAACGGCUUACCAAGGCAACGAUGAAUAGCCGACCUGAGAGGGUGGUCGGCCGCAAUGGAACUGCGACAAGGUCCAGAAUCCUACGGGAGGCAGCAGUAGGGAAUAUUACGCAAUGGGCGGAAGACUGACGGAGCAACGCCGCGUGAGUGAUGAAGGUCUUCGGAUCGUAGAAAUCUGUUAUUAGGGAAGAACAUAUGUGUCAGUAACUGUGCACAUCUUGACGGUACCUAAUCAGAAAGCCCCGGCUAACUACGUG